CCUACGGGUGGCAGCAGUAGGGAAUAUUGCUCAAUGGGGGAAACCCUGAAGCAGCAACGCCGCGUGAAGGAUGAAGGUUUUCGGAUUGUAAACCCCUUUUGUUAGAGAAGAAAAUGACGGUAUCUAACGAAUAAGCCCCGGCUAACUCCGUGCCAGCAGCCGCGGUAAUACGGAGGGUGCAAGCGUUACUCGGAAUCACUGGGCGUAAAGAGAGCGUAGGCGGGAGAGCAAGUCAGAUGUGAAAUCCUAGGGCUUAACCAUAGAACUGCAUUUGAAACUGUUAUUCUAGAGUAUAGGAGAGGUAGGUGGAAUUCUUGGUGUAGGGGUAAAAUCCGUAGAUAUCAAGAGGAAUACUCAUGGCGAAGGCGACCUGCUAGAACAUAACUGACGCUGAUGCGCGAAAGCGUGGGGAGCAAACAGGAUUAGAUACCCCGGUAGUC
RNAcentral lists this ribosomal RNA (440 nucleotides) under uncultured bacterium. RNAcentral's name for it is "partial 16S ribosomal RNA". It matches the Rfam family "Bacterial small subunit ribosomal RNA", at positions 338 to 795 of the family's 1533-position model. The record is from RNAcentral.